Molecule: ribosomal RNA, 524 nt
Filed under: uncultured bacterium
Lineage: Bacteria
Description: partial 16S ribosomal RNA
Rfam family: Bacterial small subunit ribosomal RNA
Source: RNAcentral
GACGAACGCUGGCGGCGUGCCUAAUACAUGCAAGUCGAGCGCAGGAAAUCGACGGAACCCUUCGGGGGGAAGUCGACGGAAUGAGCGGCGGACGGGUGAGUAACACGUAAAGAACCUGCCCUCAGGUCUGGGAUAACCACGAGAAAUCGGGGCUAAUACCGGAUGGGUCAUCGGACCGCAUGGUCCGAGGAUGAAAGGCGCUUCGGCGGCGCCUGGGGAUGGCUUUGCGGGGCAUUAGCUAGUUGGUGGGGUAAUGGCCCACCAAGGCGACGGUGCAUAGCCGACCUGAGAGGGUGAUCGGCCACACUGGGACUGAGCCACGGCCCAGACUCCUACGGGAGGCAGCAGUAGGGAAUCUUCCACAAUGGACGAAAGUCUGAUGGAGCAACGCCGCGUGAACGAUGAAGGCCUUCGGGUCGUAAAGUUCUGUUGUAAGGGAAGAACAAGUGCCGCAGGCAAUGGCGGCACCUUGACGGUACCUUGCGAGAAAGCCACGGCUAACUACGUGCCAGCCGCCGCCGUAA